CACAAGCAGUGGAGUAUGUGGUUUAAUUCGAAGCGACGCGAAGAACCUUACCAGGGCUUGACAUCCCUUGAAGCAGCUAGAGAUAGCUGUGUCCUUCGGGACAAGGAGACAGGUGGUGCAUGGUUGUCGUCAGCUCGUGUCGUGAGAUGUUGGGUUAAGUCCCGCAACGAGCGCAACCCCUGUGGUUAGUUGCCAGCAAGUAGCGUUGGGCACUCUAGCCAGACUGCCGGUGAUAAAUCGGAGGAAGGUGGGGACGACGUCAAAUCAUCAUGCCCUUUAUGUCCUGGGCUACACACGUACUACAAUGGCCGUUACAACGGGAAGCGAAGGAGCAAUCCGGAGCAAAUCCCUUAAAGGCGGUCCCAGUUCAGAUUGUGGGCUGAAACUCGCCCACAUGAAGGCGGAAUUGCUAGUAAUUGCAGAUCAGCAUGCUGCCAGUCGAAUACGUUCCGGGCCUU
Molecule: ribosomal RNA, 458 nt
Filed under: uncultured Oscillospiraceae bacterium
Lineage: Bacteria; Bacillati; Bacillota; Clostridia; Eubacteriales; Oscillospiraceae
Description: bacterial SSU rRNA
Rfam family: Bacterial small subunit ribosomal RNA
Source: RNAcentral